This 253-nucleotide ribosomal RNA is filed under the name uncultured bacterium. RNAcentral describes it as "partial 16S ribosomal RNA". It matches the Rfam family "Bacterial small subunit ribosomal RNA", at positions 524 to 776 of the family's 1533-position model. The record is from RNAcentral.
UACGUAGGGGGCAAGCGUUGUCCGGAAUCAUUGGGCGUAAAGCGCGUGUAGGCGGCUUAGUAAGUCUGCUCUGAAAGCCCGGGGCUCAACCCUGGGAGGCGGGUGGAUACUGCUGAGCUUGAGUCCGGAAGAGGCGAGUGGAAUUCCUGGUGUAGCGGUGAAAUGCGCAGAUAUCAGGAGGAACACCGAUGGCGAAGGCAGGUCUCUGGGCAUUAACUGACGCUGAGGAGCGAAAGCAUGGGGAGCGAACAGG